This 356-nucleotide ribosomal RNA is filed under the name Citrobacter sp. RHBSTW-01065. RNAcentral's name for it is "partial 23S ribosomal RNA". It matches the Rfam family "Bacterial large subunit ribosomal RNA", at positions 588 to 944 of the family's 2925-position model. Lineage: Bacteria; Pseudomonadati; Pseudomonadota; Gammaproteobacteria; Enterobacterales; Enterobacteriaceae. The record is from RNAcentral.
AUGGGGUGACUGCGUACCUUUUGUAUAAUGGGUCAGCGACUUAUAUUCUGUAGCAAGGUUAACCGUAUAGGGGAGCCGUAGGGAAACCGAGUCUUAACUGGGCGAAUGAGUUGCAGGGUAUAGACCCGAAACCCGGUGAUCUAUCCAUGGGCAGGUUGAAGGUUGGGUAACACUAACUGGAGGACCGAACCGACUAAUGUUGAAAAAUUAGCGGAUGACUUGUGGAUGGGGGUGAAAGGCCAAUCAAACCGGGAGAUAGCUGGUUCUCCCCGAAAGCUAUUUAGGUAGCGCCUCGUGAACUCAUCUUCGGGGGUAGAGCACUGUUUCGACUAGGGGGUCAUCCCGACUUACCAACU